GAUGAACGCUGGCGGCGUGCCUAAUACAUGCAAGUCGAACGCUGGAACUCUAGCUUGCUAGAUUGAAGGAGUGGCGAACGGGUGAGUAAUACAUAAGCAACCUACCCACGAAGACUGGGAUAAUCUCUGGAAACGGGGACUAAUACCGGAUAGGUAAUCGGAAGGCAUCUUCUGAUUAUUAAAGGUUAAAAACACUGGUGGAUGGGCUUAUGGCGCAUUAGUUGGUUGGUGAGGUAACGGCCCACCAAGACGAUGAUGCGUAGCCGGCCUGAGAGGGUGAACGGCCACAUUGGGACUGAGACACGGCCCAGACUCCUACGGGAGGCAGCAGUAGGGAAUUUUCGGCAAUGGGGGAAACCCUGACCGAGCAACGCCGCGUGAGUGAUGACGGCCUUCGGGUUGUAAAGCUCUGUUGUAAGGGAAGAACGGUAGAUAGAGAAUAUCUAAAUGACGGUACCUUACCAGAAAGCCACGGCUAACUACGUG
Molecule: ribosomal RNA, 486 nt
Filed under: uncultured bacterium
Lineage: Bacteria
Description: partial 16S ribosomal RNA
Rfam family: Bacterial small subunit ribosomal RNA
Source: RNAcentral